AUUGAACGCUGGCGGCAUGCCUUACACAUGCAAGUCGAACGGCAGCGGACCUUCGGGUGCCGGCGAGUGGCGAACGGGUGAGUAAUAUAUCGGAACGUACCUUUCAGUGGGGGAUAACGUAGCGAAAGUUACGCUAAUACCGCAUAUUCUGUGAGCAGGAAAGCAGGGGAUCGCAAGACCUUGCGCUGAUUGAGCGGCCGAUAUCAGAUUAGCUAGUUGGUGAGGUAAAGGCUCACCAAGGCGACGAUCUGUAGCGGGUCUGAGAGGAUGAUCCGCCACACUGGAACUGAGACACGGUCCAGACUCCUACGGGAGGCAGCAGUGGGGAAUUUUGGACAAUGGGCGCAAGCCUGAUCCAGCCAUGCCGCGUGCGGGACGAAGGCCUUGGGUUGUAAACCGCGUUUCAGCCGGAAAGAAAUACGCCGUUUUUAACUUACUAGACGGUGGAGUGACGGUACCGGAAGGAAGAAGCACCGGCUAACUACGUGCCAGCAGCCGUACGG
This 503-nucleotide ribosomal RNA is filed under the name uncultured bacterium. RNAcentral's name for it is "bacterial SSU rRNA". It matches the Rfam family "Bacterial small subunit ribosomal RNA", at positions 30 to 520 of the family's 1533-position model. The record is from RNAcentral.